AGGCAGUUGUCUCAAAGAAUCUGCUUCAUUUUCCUUGUCCACUCCAGGUCACCUGAGCCAUGUAUUCAGAGGUGCCAAAUCUGAGAACAUCAAGGCAGAGCCACAAGCAGAGCUGCCCGAAGCUCAGAUUCCCAUCCAUGGCAGUGAAAAGGAAGAACAAGGAAGACAUAAGAAGCAUCCAAGAGGAGAUGAAUCUCCAUCAACAGAAGGGUGAUCUACAAAACCAGGUAUGUGGAAGAGUGGCUGCCAAUCCAGUCAAGAAAUUUUCUGUCUCUUGUUCUUUACAGAACUUCAAUGAGAAGCUGCACACAGAGCUACAGGAAACUCAGGCUGGGCGCAAGACAAGUGAGAAGAGGCUGGAGGAUGAGAUGAAAAUCUUCCAAGAGGAAAUUAAUCUCCCUCAGGAGCAAGAGGCUCUCGAAAACCCAAUCUACACAAGCUCUGUCAUGCAGCCUGGUGCAGCAGCAGUGUUGUCUCAUGAUGCCCCCAGUCCCCAGCCUGAGAAGUGGAGCCUUUUCAGCUCGUUUAGGUCCAGUGUGGCCGCAGCUGCUCAGAAACAGGACACUGAGGAGAAGAACCUGGAGCUACUGAGGAAAAUGGUGAAGAUGGGAAAUCCCAUGAAGAAAUACCUGGAACUGGGAAAUAUUGGCAGCGGGUGAGUCCAACCACAGUUACUCCUACACAACCAUGGGGCA
RNAcentral lists this long non-coding RNA (695 nucleotides) under Catharus ustulatus (Swainson's thrush). RNAcentral describes it as "lncRNA (ENSCUSG00005006391.1)". Lineage: Eukaryota; Metazoa; Chordata; Aves; Passeriformes; Turdidae. The record is from RNAcentral.